UACGGAGGAUUCAAGCGUUAUCCGGAUUUAUUGGGUUUAAAGGGUGCGUAGGCGGGUUAUCAAGUCAGCGGUAAAAUCGUGGAGCUCAACUCCAUCCAGCCGUUGAAACUGAUGAUCUUGAGUGGGCGAGAAGUAUGCGGAAUGCGUGGUGUAGCGGUGAAAUGCGUAGAUAUCAGGAGGAACACCGGUGGCGAAGGCGGCCUGCUGGACUGCAACUGACGUUGAGGCCCGAAAGCGUGGGGAUCGAACAGG
This 252-nucleotide ribosomal RNA is filed under the name uncultured Bacteroidales bacterium. Its description in RNAcentral is "partial 16S ribosomal RNA". It matches the Rfam family "Bacterial small subunit ribosomal RNA", at positions 524 to 776 of the family's 1533-position model. Lineage: Bacteria; Pseudomonadati; Bacteroidota; Bacteroidia; Bacteroidales. The record is from RNAcentral.